Molecule: long non-coding RNA, 217 nt
Filed under: Prunus persica (peach)
Lineage: Eukaryota; Viridiplantae; Streptophyta; Magnoliopsida; Rosales; Rosaceae
Description: long non-coding RNA (PPER_LNC005271)
Source: RNAcentral
UGGGUUUUGAGUGAAUUCCAGUCUCUAGAACUAUGCAAUACACCUACCACUCCAUUUCGUAAAGAAAUUCGUACGAACCUGAAUUGUCCAAUUUCAUGGACCAAUCGAUAUCGGAUUGAGUCAAAACUUGGGGAACAUCGUAAUAUGAUGGGCGGAGUCAUUUCGUGAGUUUUUAAUGAAAUUCAAUGCCUAAAACUAUGCAAUACAUCAACCACUC